GCUUUACAAAUAUAGAUUAAUUAUUAAUUUGGUUGUGUAACGGAGGUUAGUCCUAUAUUUGUUUAGCUGGGGCGGCUUCAAUAAAAUUUGUAACUGUUAGAAAAAAUGUAUACAUUUAUGUAGAAAAUGAACCUCUAGUGGGGAUUGAAAGAUUAAGUU
RNAcentral lists this ribosomal RNA (159 nucleotides) under Aegaeon lacazei. RNAcentral describes it as "partial 16S ribosomal RNA". The record is from RNAcentral. Lineage: Eukaryota; Metazoa; Arthropoda; Malacostraca; Decapoda; Crangonidae.